AUACGGAGGGUGCAGGCGUUAUUCGGAAUCACUGGGCGUAAAGGGUGCGUAGGCGGUUUGAUAAGUCUGAUGUGAAAUCCUAUGGCUCAACCAUAGAACUGCAUUGGAAACUGUCAGACUAGAAUACUGAAGGGGCAGAUGGAAUUAGUGGUGUAGGGGUAAAAUCCGUAGAUAUCACUAGGAAUACCGAAAGCGAAAGCGAUCUGCUGGGAAGUUAUUGACGCUGAGGCACGAAAGCGUGGGGAGCAAACGGGAUUAGAAACCCCAGUAGUCC
This 274-nucleotide ribosomal RNA is filed under the name uncultured bacterium. Its description in RNAcentral is "partial 16S ribosomal RNA". It matches the Rfam family "Bacterial small subunit ribosomal RNA", at positions 523 to 796 of the family's 1533-position model. The record is from RNAcentral.